UAAAUUGUCGCAAGCGCAGGCAUUUGGGAGUUCACUUUACGGCAGUCUCGUUAGAUUUUAUAUUAGUUACUAUCAGACACUACAGAUUUUUACCUAAUCUACGGUGUACAUAGACUGUACAGGUUCACUCUAGGUACAUGUCUAGAGUCUGUCUGGAUAUAUGGCGUGCCAUUUGUGUCAAAAUUAGACAAUGAGAUGAGGCGAUGAGAUCAUGCGAUGAGACAAUGAGAGGAGGCGAUGAGACAAUGAGAUGAGGCGAUGAGACAAUGAGAGGAGGCGAUGAGACUGUAAUAUGAGAUUGCAAUAUGAGACUGCAUGCAUCGAUAUGAGAGAAUCUAGUUUUUGAAGGUUGUUUACUCGUGUUCUUAUCAAGGCUGCAUUUUUGAGCUCCACAAACCAAUCGAAGUGCCUACUCUCCCACAGAGUCUUUAUUCGACACUUGUUGUCUGCAACUAACAGAUGAAGAAAGAAAGAAGACAAGAGAAACUUAAUCACGGGGUGACUCCUGGCUUUCUCCAUAUUUAUUUUGUUUUUACUUACUUUCCGUCACGUGCCAAAUCAAGUCGGCUGCUCUUGGCUCUGACAUACAACAUUUUGCCAGUGAAUAUCGCGGUCCCUAGCUGUGUAGGUACGUGUAUUGUACACAACACGCUACCUUUACCGUAGACGAACCGGCUAGAGAGGAAAUGCUACGAAUUUAGAUGUAUUUAGAUAGGCAAAUGUAUUGUUUUUCUGUUGCAGUCGACACCCACUGCCUCUCGUACGCGUGAUGAGUCACAAAGCCCAUCAUCAGAAAUUUUUGUGAUGUCUCAAGUUAGAGAACUACGUCAAGUAUUUCCAGAUAGGACUGAAUCGUUUCUGAAAAGAGCGAUUCACGAUCUUUCUACCGUUGAGAGCGCUGUAGAAGCUGUGCCGGAUGGACUUAUUCCACAGGUAAACUCAAAACUAAAUUUCUAAGAUAGAACGUAUUGAUCUCUCUAUGCAUACGGAGCCCAACAGCACAAACAGUCUACACCGAUGAAGUGGGUGAUUUGUCUGAUCUCUUGGAAAGCUAUUGCCCCGAUCUCGGUACUCUGCCAGCAACAAGAAUAGCUGUCGCAAGAGACAGCAUACUAACUGACACAGUCGCUUUUUUUAAAAGCAACAAGUUUGACAUACGAAGCACAUUUAGAGUUCGUUUUGAGAACGAACCGGCUGUUGAUGGAGGAGGCCCAAGGCGAGAGUUUUUUACUCUGCUCUUGCGUAGCUUAAUUGCUCCGGAUACUCCUUUUCGUCUCUUCGAGGGUAAGGCUGGUCAUAUACUGCCAAUUCACAACAUCGACGCUCUCGUGGGAGGAAUGUUCAAGUCUGCUGGCAAUAUCAUUGCAGCAUCUAUUGUUCAAGGAGGACCGGGCUUUCCGAUGUUCUCGAGUGCGUUUUAUGCAUAUUUACAAACUCAAGACCUAGAUGAUGUGUAUGCUCUUGCAACGCCUGAUGACAUUCCAGACUCGGCUGUUGCUCACUCUGCUAAGCAGAUUGGAAGACAAGACAUUUCAAAUGAAGAAUUUGAAACUCAUGUAACGGUGUUGCAAGAUUCUGUUAUUGCAGCUGGCUAUCCUUAUCGACUUACUAAAGAAAAUCAUGGAGAAGCCGUUCGCAGCCUGCUUGUGCACGAGAUAAUUUUGAGCAGACGUUCAGAAAUUGACCAAGUCAUAGCAGGACUCGGACCUGAAAUCUGCACGAUGGUAAAGGAGCAUGGGAAAGUAAUGUCGAGCCUAUUUACAAACGAAGGUCGAGUGCCACUCGUAGCUUCUGAAUUUCUUAAGCUUGUGACGUAUGAAAAUACGUUACCUCGACAUUUGAAGGAUUACUUUCAGCGGUACGUCUUAGAAGCAGAUGAGAAACACCUUCGUUUGCUGCUGCAGUCUGUCAGUGGAGUGUCAGCAGUCCCUCCGAUGGGAUUCCAGACGCCGGAUAGCAUCACAGUUUCGAGUAUCCGGUCACGUUAUCCAGACUGCUCGACGUGUGCAAUGAUAUUGGAGCUCCCUAUUAACUGCACCUUAUAUGACGAGUUUUCUGACGCUCUCAGAACAGCCACCGAACUUCAAUCAAUGGGUUUUGGAAUUGUAUAAAUAUGACACAUAAAUUUUGCACUACUUUCUUUGCUAGAUUUGACUAGGCUUUUAGUAGAUGCAUGUUUGGUCUCAUAUUGCAAUGGUCUCAUCGCAUGGUCUCAUCGCAUGGUCUCAUCGCCUCAUCUCAUGAUCUCAUCGCCUCAUCUCAUUGUCUCAUCGCAUGAUCUCAUCGCCUCAUCACAUUGUCUAAUUUUGACACAAAUGGCACGCCAUAUUUAUGAGACCAUUGCAAUAUGGAGACUGCAUCAAUAUGAGAUUACCGCAGAUUACCGCAUGCAGCUACUACACAACUGUAUGGGACUGAUGGUGGAUUUUUCAUGAUGCACCCAGUCAACUAGUAAUUUUUGAGUGUCAACGAGGUCGAGUCUCCAUUGAGAAGCUACGAGUGCAAAACAACAGCAAAACAACACGAGAGCGCAAACUCUGAAAUGAAGAUAGGAAAAUAAAAUUUAAAAAAAUGCAAAUAGAAAAUAAAAAUGCUAUUUAAAAAUAAAACGUAAGUAUUGUAGUAACAUUUCAAAUUUAAUUUUUAAUUUUAAAAUACUAUUGUUGCAUUAAAUUAAUUGAAUAUUGCAAUGAGAAGAGGC
Molecule: RNA transcript, 2701 nt
Organism: Corticium candelabrum
Lineage: Eukaryota; Metazoa; Porifera; Homoscleromorpha; Homosclerophorida; Plakinidae
Exons: 8
Source: RefSeq, a predicted model, not a curated record